GGCUAGUCUGAAGGUGAUGAGUUAUGUCAACUGAUUGUUCAUUGUCAAACUCCUUGUUCUACUCUUUCUCCUCUUCUCACUACUGCACUUGACUAGUCUUAA
Gorilla gorilla gorilla (western lowland gorilla) is the source of this 102-nucleotide non-coding RNA. It matches the Rfam family "Y RNA". From Rfam's summary of the family: Y RNAs are components of the Ro ribonucleoprotein particle (Ro RNP), in association with Ro60 and La proteins. The Y RNAs and Ro60 and La proteins are well conserved, but the function of the Ro RNP is not known. In humans the RNA component can be one of four small RNAs -- hY1, hY3, hY4 and hY5. The record is from Rfam. Lineage: Eukaryota; Metazoa; Chordata; Mammalia; Primates; Hominidae.